UACGUAGGGGGCAAGCGUUGUCCGGAUUUAUUGGGCGUAAAGAGCGUGUAGGCGGCUUUACAGGUCCGUUGUGAAAACUCGAGGCUCAACCUCGAGACGCCGGUGGAAACCGUAAAGCUAGAGUCCGGAAGAGGAGAGUGGAAUUCCUGGUGUAGCGGUGAAAUGCGCAGAUAUCAAGAGGAACACCUGAGGUGAAGACGGGUUGCUGGGCCGACACUGACGCUGAGUGCGCGAAAGCCAGGGGAGCAAACGGG
This 254-nucleotide ribosomal RNA is filed under the name uncultured bacterium. RNAcentral's name for it is "partial 16S ribosomal RNA". It matches the Rfam family "Bacterial small subunit ribosomal RNA", at positions 524 to 776 of the family's 1533-position model. The record is from RNAcentral.